AGAUCUUAGCACAUCACACCUGCCCCGUGACUCCCCCCGGCUCCAGCUGGGCCUGUCGUUUGCCAGGCACUGUGGUACGUUGCCCUGUUGAUGGGAGACAGCUGUGGGGGCGAGAACGAGGGUGUCUGUUCGUGGUUCUCUGCGUGGUCCCAGGACCGUGGGCACGUCGGUGUGUUCCCAGAAUGCUCAGCGUGGCUCCAGACUGACUUUAUGUGUUGGGUUGACUGGGUCACGGGAUGCUCGGGGAAGCGUUAGACGUUAUCCUGGGUGUGUCUGUGACGGUGGCUCGUGAUGACCGUAGCAUUCGAACAGGUGUCUGGAGUAAAGCAGAUUGCCCUCUGCAGCGUGGGUGGGCCUCCUCCCGUCCACUGAGGGCCUGGAUGGAAGGCUGAGGCAGAGGAGGGGAGAGCUCACUCUCUCUGCCUGGCUGUUGAGCUGGAAUGUCGGUCUUCUCCUGCCCUUGGCGAGGUCUUACACCGUCGCUCUCCCCCGUGCUCCCCCACGUGGACUGGAGCGACGCCACCCUCUUUCCUCGGCUUCCGUUUGCAGACGGCAGAUUGUGGGACUUCUUGGCUCCCAUAAUCAGAUGUUUUAAGAAGACCCUUAAGACUCCACCAAAAUCUAUACUUAGGUAAACUCUCUCACUCUCCAGCUCUGCUACAAACAUUCUGGAAAGAGUUCCCUGUCUGAGCAGAGGGUCAAGCAGGGGCUACGUGAGCACCUAGCAUCCCGUGCAUGGAAUCAAAGAUGGAAAACUAAAUUCUAGAUGGACACCAUUACUUUGCACUUCGUCCUGGAAAAGAAAUUGAAUGUUUUAUCAGAGAACUUACAGUACUUUAUUUGAAAAUAAUAGGAGGGCGCCCAUGGCUUGAGUUGAUCCUUUAGAAAAUGUUCACAGCUGUUAAUCCACGGGGAAGAAGUGGGGCAAAUGGUCAUUGGUGCAUUAGAGUCCAACUUUCUGAUAUUCACGACUGGAUGUUUUUAUUCUCUCAUUCUCUCCUUUUCAACUGUUUGUAGUGUUCACACCUUUGGAUGAAAUGGUCCCAACAUACACAACUUCAAAUUCUAUGUCCCCACAAAAGUACUGUUCACGGUUGAUAUGGGCUAAACUGUCCUGCACUCCCACAAACUCGUAUGUUGAAGUCCUAACCCCCAAUGGGACUGUACUUGGAAGUGAGACCUUCAAAGAGGUAAUUAGGUUAAAUGAGGUCAUAAAGGUGGGUCCUCGUCUCAUAGGAUUUGUGUCUGUAUGAGAAGAGAUACCAGAUAAGCAUCUGACUCUUGGUUUCAGCUCCGGUCACGAUCUCACGGUUGUAGGAUCAAGACCCACAUCUGGCUCCACACUGAGCGUGAAGCCUGCUUAAGAUUCUCUCUCUCUCUCUCUCUCUCUGCCCCUUUCUGCCCCUCUCCCCCACUAGCACUGUCUCCAAAAUAGACAUUAAAAAUAAAAUAAAUAAAAAAACAUUAAAAGAAGAAGAAGAGACACAAGAGAUAUCUGUCUCUUCACAUUCAUACUCAGAAGGUCAUGUGAGGACACAGGUGAAGGUGGCCAUCUACAGGGCCAAGGGGGAGGUCUCGCCAGAUGUCAACCCUGGUGAUACCUUGAUCUUGUAUUUCUGACCUCUAGCACCAGGAGAAAAUAAUUUCGUGUGGUUUAAGCUGGAACGUAGUACGUUAUU
This is a long non-coding RNA of Acinonyx jubatus (cheetah), 1679 nucleotides long. RefSeq lists it as uncharacterized. NCBI's taxonomy places the organism in Eukaryota, Metazoa, Chordata, Mammalia, Carnivora, Felidae. The transcript is spliced from 4 exons. The record is from RefSeq and is a predicted model, not a curated record.